GGGCUGGGGCUCAGUGGUAGAGUGCUUGCCUAGCAUGUGUGAGGCACUGGGUUUGAUUCUCAGCACCACA
This 70-nucleotide transfer RNA is filed under the name Marmota monax (woodchuck). Its description in RNAcentral is "tRNA.Ala". The record is from RNAcentral. Lineage: Eukaryota; Metazoa; Chordata; Mammalia; Rodentia; Sciuridae.